This 789-nucleotide ribosomal RNA is filed under the name Staphylococcus lugdunensis. RNAcentral's name for it is "bacterial SSU rRNA". It matches the Rfam family "Bacterial small subunit ribosomal RNA", at positions 61 to 831 of the family's 1533-position model. Lineage: Bacteria; Bacillati; Bacillota; Bacilli; Caryophanales; Staphylococcaceae. The record is from RNAcentral.
GUCGAGCGAACAGAUAAGGAGCUUGCUCCUUUGACGUUAGCGCGCGGACGGGUGAGUAACACGUGGGUAACCUACCUAUAAGACUGGGACAACUUCGGGAAACCGGAGCUAAUACCGGAUAAUAUGUUGAACCGCAUGGUUCAAUAGUGAAAGAUGGUUUUGCUAUCACUUAUUGAUGGACCCGCGCCGUAUUAGCUAGUUGGUGAGGUAACGGCUCACCAAGGCAACGAUACGUAGCCGACCUGAGAGGGUGAUCGGCCACUCUGGAACUGAGACACGGUCCAGACUCCUACGGGAGGCAGCAGUAGGGAAUCUUCCGCAAUGGGCGAAAGCCUGACGGAGCAACGCCGCGUGAGUGAUGAAGGUCUUAGGAUCGUAAAACUCUGUUAUUAGGGAAGAACAAACGUGUAAGUAACUGUGCACGUCUUGACGGUACCUAAUCAGAAAGCCACGGCUAACUACGUGCCAGCAGCCGCGGUAAUACGUAGGUGGCAAGCGUUAUCCGGAAUUAUUGGGCGUAAAGCGCGCGUAGGCGGUUUUUUAAGUCUGAUGUGAAAGCCCACGGCUCAACCGUGGAGGGUCAUUGGAAACUGGAAAACUUGAGUGCAGAAGAGGAAAGUGGAAUUCCAUGUGUAGCGGUGAAAUGCGCAGAGAUAUGGAGGAACACCAGUGGCGAAGGCGACUUUCUGGUCUGUAACUGACCCUAAUGUGCGAAAGCAUGGGGAUCAAACUGGAUUAGAUACCCUGGUAGUCCACGCCGUAAACUAUGAGGGCUAAGUGUUAGGGGGU